AACCUUCAAUAAUGCAAAUCUUUAUACAAUCCUCGCCUGCGAUGUGUAAGUUGUUCAAAUUAAUUUACACCUCUCCUUAACGAUGCUAUGGUUCCACUUUUCUACAACCUUCUCAUUCCUCUCCUUCCUUUCCAUGCACUGUCCGUAAUAAAUUGCUAUCAUGUAUACAAAAUAAAAUAUGUAUACGUUACAAGUAAAAAAUCCUACAAGUGUGUACUAUGUUGUAUUCCUAAAGUUUUUUUCUUUUUUUUUGCCAAAUUACCAAAACCCAAAGAGAAUGAGUAGCACACUAAAUUGGUGACACAAAAUCGUGUGGUUUUGCUGUUUACUUCAGGCCUUGUUUAGUUCCAAAAUAUUUUGGCCGAAUGCAAAAUUUUUCGAGAAAGUUUCAAGUGGUUUCGAGAAAGUUGUGCUACACGUCCUCUAGGCGGGUGGACAUCUCUUCGCUAAGUGACUAGAACAUGUGUGACACAUGAGUGCCUCUAUAAAGCAACUAUAUGCCCACUUUUUCAAAAUUGGUUGAAACUUUUUUCUCAACACUACACACCUAAAUUAUGUGACCAUGCAAGUUUUUAGAUUUUUCUAGGCACCUCAGGCAUUUUCAUCAUUUUUCCUUCAGAAAAUCAACAAAUAAUUACAAUAAUAGGUAAACUUUGUCUAAAAAUUACUCAGGUCCACACAACAUCAUUACACACCUACAUUAACAUCACAAAAAAAUUUCAAGUGGUUUCGUGAAAGUCGUGCUACACAUCUCCCAGGCGGGUGGACAUCUCUUCACUAAGUGACUAGGACGUGUGUGAGAGAUGAGUGCCUCUGUAAAGCAACUGUAUGACCACUUUGUCAAAAUUGAUUGAAACAUUUUUCUCAACACUACACACCUACAUUAUGUGACCAGGCAAGUUUUUUUAGAUUUUUCUAGGCACCUCAGGCAUUUUCUCGAUUUUCCUUCAUAAAAUCAACAAAUAAUUACAGUAAUAGGUAACCUUUGUCUAAAAAUUGCACACGUGCACAACAACAUCAUUACACACCUACAUUAACAUUCCAAAAACGUUUGAAGUGGUUUCAUGAAAGUCAUGCUACACAUCCUCUAGGCGGGUGGACAUCUCUUGGUUAAGUG
This 1117-nucleotide long non-coding RNA is filed under the name Sorghum bicolor (sorghum). Its description in RNAcentral is "long non-coding RNA (SBIC_LNC005349)". The record is from RNAcentral. Lineage: Eukaryota; Viridiplantae; Streptophyta; Magnoliopsida; Poales; Poaceae.